CCUACGGGAGGCAGCAGUGGGGAAUCUUGCGCAAUGGGCGAAAGCCUGACGCAGCCAUGCCGCGUGAAUGAUGAAGGUCUUAGGAUUGUAAAAUUCUUUCACCGGGGACGAUAAUGACGGUACCCGGAGAAGAAGCCCCGGCUAACUUCGUGCCAGCAGCCGCGGUAAUACGAAGGGGGCUAGCGUUGCUCGGAAUUACUGGGCGUAAAGGGAGCGUAGGCGGAUAGUUUAGUCAGAGGUGAAAGCCCAGGGCUCAACCUUGGAAUUGCCUUUGAUACUGGCUAUCUUGAGUAUGGGAGAGGUAUGCGGAACUCCGAGUGUAGAGGUGAAAUUCGUAGAUAUUCGGAAGAACACCAGUGGCGAAGGCGGCAUACUGGCCCAUUACUGACGCUGAGGCUCGAAAGCGUGGGGAGCAAACAGGAUUAGAUACCCUGGUAGUCCACGCUGUAAACGAUGAGUGCUAGUUGUCGGCAUGCAUGCAUGUCGGUGACGCGAGCUACGACAUAAGACACUCCGCCGUCGGGGUAGGUACGGUCGCGAAGAAGUUAAAACGUAACGAAAGAAAGUUAGACGGCGUGAGACGUGACCGAACGGACGACGACGAGGGAGGUUAGG
Molecule: ribosomal RNA, 615 nt
Filed under: uncultured bacterium
Lineage: Bacteria
Description: bacterial SSU rRNA
Rfam family: Bacterial small subunit ribosomal RNA (bases 1-518)
Source: RNAcentral